RNAcentral lists this unclassified non-coding RNA (587 nucleotides) under Zea mays. Its description in RNAcentral is "misc RNA Zm00001eb178380". The record is from RNAcentral. Lineage: Eukaryota; Viridiplantae; Streptophyta; Magnoliopsida; Poales; Poaceae.
CCACAACCCAAACCAAAACAAGGAAAAAACUGAGUCUCUGCUUUUGCCACUGAACUGAGUGAAAACAUAAUGAUGAAAUGUAUAUGAACUGGAAAGGAAUGUGCCUAGGUUCCAUUCUGGAGCAAUCUAAGUGGAGUGUCAACAUAACGAGGACAAUAGAAAAUUAAAACGUCAAAACUAGUCUAUAGAGCUAUAUCAAUGGGGCGCUGGCACUAAAUCUUGCAGAUACAACAUAAAUUUUAGCAGUCCAACGCAUGCUGAGAAAAGGUAAGAUACUAGGACCAGUAUGAAAAGAUAUUAUCUUGAUAAAAAAAGAGUACGAUUGUACGAAACACCAUUCAUAACAAAAGGCCAAUUUACCACAAGAUGUGCAUCUAACUGCGACGAAGGGCAGAUCCGAUGCAGUGGUGACAGCAUUCUCACUAAAUCUCCACAUUUGCUGGUUCCAAACAGACUCUCAACAUUUGCCGAAAGGCUUGCCUUGGUCAACCAAGGUCUGCCCUUUUUAUCUGCAUCUAACUGCGCCAAUCAUACCACAACAGUGAGAAUGAGAGAGAAGCGGCACCUUGCAGGGCCAGUUGUCGCGG